UCUGAUCGGUGCUGAGGGCUGGCAGCGUCACCUCUGGGAGCAGCUGCCAAGGCGAAUUCCCACCGGGCUUUUAAGCGAAGUGGCGGAAGUCUGGGAGGAGAUGAAAGAGGAACUGCAAAAAGGUUUCUCUGCCAUAUUGUGUGCAGCAGGGGUCCUUGAAAUCCCCAUCACUACCCUCGGGAUCUGCUGAAGUCAUUGCCACACGGGCUGGUUGGAGCACCCUUGCAGAUAUUUGCUGACAAACCUUCUCAGUAUAAUCCUUUAUUAUCUAACCACAGUCAAGAGCCUACUUCACAUGAAAUAUUUUCUGCUACAGAUGGCAAAGCCUGAGACUGAGCCAACAACAGUGUAAAAAUACAUUUAUAUCAGUGCAGAAGCCCUCAGCCAGACAACAUGCCCGCGCUAUUUGUCAUGUGCAAGAGGAUUUAUGCAAUGGACUGGCAUAACUCCCCAACAGUAACAGGCUGUGUGUAAAAAAUAAAGUUGUGCAGGAUAGUCCACCAGUUCUUUUACUCAAGAAGAGGCAUUUUAUUGAACAAAGUCCAUCAAGGAAAAAGGAAAGAGAGACUGCACUAUUUAACAGCUUCCAGAAAAUGCAGUGUUAAUUGACAACAAAGAAAACAUCACAGGGAUGAAACCAUAAAAGCUCAGAAGCAGCCUCUGCAAUGUAAGUAUUCACUUAAAAUGUUACACUCCGUGUGUGAAGCCUGCCUGCCAUACCGUGGAGCCUCGCGUGGUGCAGCCGUACGAAAGAAGCCUCCUUGUGCCGAUGCUUGACAGAAGAAACAGCAGCUCUCCCAGUAAAUGGCAAGGUUGCCUAGGGGCUACAGCGAUCAGGUGAAGAAGGGUUAUUCUGAUAUGCUAUAGGCUGACUCUUGAUAAAUGUCAAGCAGAAGGGCUAAGAUUGUCCAAGUAUAAGUACUUACAUUUGUGCUAGAUCACGUUUUAAGAAAGGUCUGGGAGUUAUUGAACACUCUGUACUUUUGAAAGUUUUAUUUUUAGCAC
This is a long non-coding RNA of Rhea pennata, 1005 nucleotides long. RefSeq lists it as uncharacterized. Lineage: Eukaryota; Metazoa; Chordata; Aves; Rheiformes; Rheidae. The record is from RefSeq and is a predicted model, not a curated record. The transcript has 3 exons.